GAUGAAGAACGUAGCGAAAUGCGAUAAGUAAUGUGAAUUGCAGAAUUCAGUGAAUCAUCGAAUCUUUGAACGCACAUUGCGCCCGCCAGUAUUCUGGCGGGCAUGCCUGUUCGAGCGUCAUUUCAACCAUCAAGCCCCCGGCUUGUGUUGGGGACCUGCGGCUGCCGCAGGCCCUGAAAACCAGUGGCGGGCUCGCUAGUCACUCCGAGCGUAGUAAUACAUCUCGCUCAGGGCGUGCUGCGGGUUCCGGCCGUUAAAAAGCCUUAUUUACCCAAGGUUGACCUCGAAUCAGGUAGGAAGACCCGCUGAACUUAAGCAUAUCAAUAAGCGGAGGA
Molecule: unclassified non-coding RNA, 335 nt
Filed under: soil metagenome
Description: partial contains 5.8S ribosomal RNA, internal transcribed spacer 2, and large subunit ribosomal RNA
Rfam family: 5.8S ribosomal RNA (bases 1-120)
Source: RNAcentral